AUCGAUACUGUAAAAAUGCAUUCUCUCUGAUCCCAACCGUCUUCUUCAAUAUGUGGUGAUCUAAACUAAACCAAAAGAAUGUCGAUUGAGAUGAAACGUUGUAAAAAACUGUGUCAAGCUUCGACAGUGUCCAUUCGUUUUUGGUUCUUACCCUCGAAGACGUUACGAACGAGAUGUCUUAAUUCAUCGGAUUUAAGAAACCUCUUAACUCCAUCAACGCUAAUCAAGCACGAUGCCUCAUUCAAUGCUACUUAUCCCUCUUCUAGGAGUGUUUCUCCACCUAUAAAAAGGUAAGCUUUUUCGUCUCUUGAACAUCAUUCUCACAGUUCAUGAUAAUCCAAAAAUGUUAUUUGCAGUAUAAUGAAUGGCCAACUUAUCUGUUCUUCAACAAUUGAGGUGCGACUAAAUUCCUCUUUGAUGCAAAGUCGACCCUCAUGCCAGCCACUGUGAAUGUUCAGCCUCUCUCCACUUUCCGACACCGUCCGUGCAAUCAGAACUACAGGCUGACUGAUUCUUCUCGGACGAUUCUGUUCAAUGUUAUUCUCCAAUCCCUGCAGAGCGGUUCAGGUUCCGGGAUCUGAUUCGCUGCUUGGCCUAGCCAACACACACACACACACACAACUUCCAGGUACAUCUCUUAUUAGCUAUUUAUCUCAGACUUAACACAUAUACUUUUCUCAAUGUUUUGUCAGAAAGUUACUUGGCCAGUCUUUCUCUUUGUCCCCGAGAGAUCAGAGCUGCCAUUUCUACAUGCAAUUACACAGGUUUGUUGAGGAUUGAGUGUUAUACUUCAUAGAUUGUGGAAUUAAUGACACUCUGUGAACUGUGUGAUAAUAUAUAUUAGUUUUCUCUCUGCUAGGCUGUGAUUUUGCAGCCGCUUGGUGAUAAAUGAAUCAUAGUUAUUGUUGGGAAGACGACUAGAUAUAUGCUUCACGUCUUCAGACUAGGUAAGGAAAACUUUCACUUCUUUAUAUUGUUUGUAGCUUAGAAAACAAAUACAACAAGUAAAAGAGUUGGGUUUCUCAUUAUGUCAAGGCUUAAAUUUCUUCAAUUUAGAGAAGUUAAAUGCGACACUAUGGAGGUGUUUUAUUGGUUCAGCUUAUAUUUCCCAAGAAACAGAUCGCAGUACCCAGACCGGUUCCAAGCGGUUCAAUGCGUGAUCAUGUGGUUACACAAAGUGGAAAUGUAAAAAUAGCUUCUAGAAUCAUGAACUAAACACUUAUACAUCAGCAUAGAGUUUAAGUUUUUCAAAGAUGUAGAUUUGAUCUAUGCUCGGAUAAUCUUCGACCCACAAUUUUUAAAAAAUUUGUGCUGUGUGAUUAUUAUGAUUUAAACUUAUGGAAUAAGAGAGGGGAGUCUCAUCAUACCUUA
Molecule: RNA transcript, 1371 nt
Organism: Brassica rapa (field mustard)
Lineage: Eukaryota; Viridiplantae; Streptophyta; Magnoliopsida; Brassicales; Brassicaceae
Source: RefSeq, a predicted model, not a curated record